RNAcentral lists this small RNA (1538 nucleotides) under Pongo abelii (Sumatran orangutan). RNAcentral's name for it is "processed transcript". Lineage: Eukaryota; Metazoa; Chordata; Mammalia; Primates; Hominidae. The record is from RNAcentral.
GGUUUGACGGAAGGAGCGGCGGCGACGGAGGAGGAGGAGGAGGAGGAGGAGGAGGAUGGAGGCGGUGGUGUUCGUCUUCUCUCUCCUCGAUUGUUGCGCGCUCAUCUUCCUCUCGGUCUACUUCGUAUCCUUGCCUGAGGCAGGCGGACGCCUUGCCGGGGGACACGGCUGAGGGUGGGCCAGUUGGGUACCCGGGCAGUGGGUAAUUCCAGAAUUGAUUGGCCAUACCAUUGUCACUGUAUUACUGCUCAUUUCAUUGCACUGGUUCAUCUUCCUUCUCAACUUACCUGUUGCCACUUGGAAUAUAUAUCGAUACAUUAUGGUGCCGAGUGGUAACAUGGGAGUGUUUGAUCCAACAGAAAUACACAAUCGAGGGCAGCUGAAGUCACACAUGAAAGAAGCCAUGAUCAAGCUUGGUUUCCACUUGCUCUGCUUCUUCAUGUAUCUUUAUAGUAUGAUCUUAGCUUUGAUAAAUGACUGAAGCUGGAGAAGCCGUGGUUGAAGUCAGCCUACACUACAGUGCACAGCUGAGGAGCCAGAGACUUCUUAAAUCAUCCUUAGAACCGUGACCAUAGCAGUAUAUAUUUUCCUCUUUGAACAAAAAACUAUUUUUGCUGUAUUUUUACCAUAUAAAAUAUUUAAAAAACAUGAAUUGAGUUUCUGUAGAUUUCUAGUUUUCAACUUUAGCCUGAACGCCAACAUUUGAAGGUGUUUUUCAUCCUCUGUAUGUUGAAGGUGGUUAUUUGUAUGUAGGAACAGGACUGCCAUCCCAGCUUUGCAUGCCAAAGAAAUAAAGAACACACUUUAAAGGGCAAACUGAAGAGAUGAGCGAGCAAAGGUGCCCUUCAGGUCUACUGAAAAGUUAGAGUACAAAACAACACUGUUGAUCUGGACAAAAGAAGAAAAAUUACCCUUUUUGCCUGUGUUGUGGCAACUUCAUUUAAUAUGGUUUAAAGAUUUAUGAGACUGUCAGCUGAAAGUCUUUUCACAAUAAUGUCAACAGAGAAUGGCAUUUCAAAAUAUAUAUAUUUCUUUGCACAAUUUGUGAAACCUUAUAAGCCAUUUUCCCCAGGUACAAUGUAGUUCCUGCUGAUAGGAAAUAUUUUGUCAAGAGAUUUCAUUUAAAAGCUACUACCUCCACAAUCACCCCAAACCCAGAAAAUCCCCACUGGCUCUUGCCAGUCUGGUUUUCGUAUUGCAAUUAUUCCAAUUGUAUUUGAUCUCCCUGAUAACGUAUUUUAAUGGGUUUGGGUAGAAGAUGCUAAUCAGAUUAGAAGCAGGAAUAGUUAUUCGCUGUCUGUGAAAUUGAGCCUUUUGGUGCGCCACGUGGUGCCAGAUUAACACUUCUAUCCCUCUGCACUGACCACAUUGUGAAUUGGGAGACCAAAUACAAGCCAUUUCAUGGACAUAGCAAUAUGCAACCAAACUCUGUUCCUUGGAGUUAUAUUGUAAACUCUUGCAGUUGGGAGAGCAGUUCACCUCCUCAGCUCUGUUUGCCAGCUCUUACAGGGUAAAAUAAACCUGGCAAUUUAUCCUCA